This is a non-coding RNA of Pelobates cultripes (western spadefoot toad), 474 nucleotides long. The record is from the annotation of a GenBank genome assembly. NCBI's taxonomy places the organism in Eukaryota, Metazoa, Chordata, Amphibia, Anura, Pelobatidae.
AAUAACCCAUGGUGGGAAGAGAAGUGUAGAACUUGUAGGUUUACUCACCCCCCCUAUCCACCAUAGACACCCAGAACAUGUGCCCCUGAUGCCAGUACAGCUCCAUAGGGUUUGGUCGCCAGGACUAGUGUACCCCAACUUAAUCUAGACCAAUCUGUAGCAGGAGACACAGAUGGAGCACCCUCAAUCUCCACUCCUGCACUGGGAGCUGCAGUGAGUACCCCCCUUGCACCACUCACACUCCACCUUUGGACUUGGCUUGAAUAUAACCCUGGACCCCUUCAGACCAGCUAGCCAUGCUCAAGCAAUUACCAGACCCUGAAGUCCUGCAGGAACGGUGUUCCAGCACUUUUUUCACAGCAGAAACGCCGUUCCCUUUGCUCCUGUAGACACUAUAGAGGGGGAGACAAAAAAAUGCCACCCCCAAAUGUCCCCGUCUUCCCCCUGUCAUGGGGGCCACCUGAUGGAACUCCC